UCUCCGUAGGUGAACCUGCGGAGGGAUCAUUACAGAGUUCUCGCCCUCGCGGGUAGAUCUCCCACCCACUGUUAUCGUUACUGUGUUGCUUUGGCGGGCCGCCGGGCCCCGCUCGGCCGCCGGCUCCGGCUGGCGCGCGCCCGCCAGAGGCCCAGCAAACUCUGAAUGUUAGUGUCGUCUGAGUACUUUACAAUAGUUAAAACUUUCAACAACGGAUCUCUUGGUUCUG
This 229-nucleotide unclassified non-coding RNA is filed under the name plant metagenome. RNAcentral's name for it is "partial contains small subunit ribosomal RNA, internal transcribed spacer 1, and 5.8S ribosomal RNA". The record is from RNAcentral.